Molecule: RNA transcript, 844 nt
Organism: Oncorhynchus mykiss (rainbow trout)
Lineage: Eukaryota; Metazoa; Chordata; Actinopteri; Salmoniformes; Salmonidae
Gene: atp5f1d
Gene name: ATP synthase F1 subunit delta
Source: RefSeq, a predicted model, not a curated record
CUUCAUGCUUUGAGCACUCAUAAGGAAUUGUGGGUAGGUUACCAACGUCCUUGUCCUAUCAGGCGCACACUGUUUGACUGACUUCACACAAGGGCUAGGGGAUCCUUUCGUUUCGGGUUGAACCUGAGUUAGAUUUAUUCCACAAAAAUGAUGGCAGCAAGGUUUCUCCGUCGCUCUAUUCCUGUAUUGAGGCAAGCAAGAUGUUACGCCGACGCACCCUCAGGCUCUUCCCAGAUGUCCUUCACAUUUGCGUCUCCAACGCAGGUGUACUUCAAGGAGGCCAGUGUGAAACAGGUUGAUGUGCCCACACUGACUGGUGCUUUUGGUAUCCUCCCUGCUCACGUCCCCACGCUGCAGGUCCUCAGGCCUGGCGUGGUCACAGUGUUCAACGAUGAUGGCUCCGCAGCUAAAUUCUUUGUGAGCAGCGGGUCAAUCACAGUGAACGCAGACUCCUCAGUGCAGCUGCUGGCUGAGGAGGCCUUCCCCUUGGACCAGCUGGAUGUGGCUGCUGCCAAGGCCAACCUGGAGAAGGCCCAGUCUGAGAUGGCAUCAGCGUCUGACGAGGCUGCCAGGGCUGAGGUCCAGAUCAACAUAGACGCCAACGAGGCCAUCGUCAAAGCCCUGGAGUAGGCCAUGGGACUGGUCUCUGUGGGGGAUCACAACGACUUGAUCGCUGAUUAUCGUGGCAAGUGUCCAUCCAGAGAUGUCGUGUUGGUAUAACAGAAAUGAAAAUUCUCCAACUUUGUUUCCCUGCCCCGUGAAGUCAGUAACUGCAAGAUCUCAUGCUUGCUUUGUACAGUGGAAUGAAAUUACCAAUAAAUUUCUUUGGAUUUACCUGCCAGUC